AUGAUCAUAAGUUUCCUGAGGCCUCCCCAGCCAUGUUGAACUGACAGCCAAGCCACCAAAAUAUCACUUGGAUGCUGCCAGCUUCCUCCAGUGCAGGCAGAGGAGGUGUCCUGGGAGCCCACAGGCUGCAUCCCCAUGGGACAGACGCCUCCAUCAGUCCCCUAGGACCCCGUCCAGUAUAGGGCACCCACUAGCCCAACCAGGCACAGGAUGCAAUGACGAAAUGCUGGCACUUGGGGCUUGUGGCUUCCUGGACACCGAUCACACUGUUACCUAAGUUGUCUCAUCACCUGAACAGCAGACUUUUCAAGUUGUGCUCCCGAGUCUGGGGAAGACUUUGAUGUAGAUCCAGCUUCACUCACCUAUGCCUCCAGGGUGAGGCAUCUGCAGAACCAACGUCAAUUGACCUGGAUCCAAGAAGAGUUAUGGUGAUUGGAAAUUGAUCAAAAUACAGAGAUCAACGAUGCCCAAUAAGAGGAAGAGAGAGAUGAUGAGGUCUGUGAAAGCUCGUUCCUUUAAUUCUCAGGGUCUUAGGAUGGAGGAGAAGGAGCCUGGAGACAGGACUCUGGAAGUCUAGGACUCUUCCCAGGGGUAUCUGGACAAUCCCCAAUAGAGCACUUGGUCUCUAAUUUCUCACAGUGGCCACCUGCUUUGGAAUCACUCGGGAAACUUAUUAAGGAUACAGGUGCUUUGGUGCCCUCGUCCCCAACCAACCAGGGUCCCAGGGUCAGGACUCAGGGGCUUUGUGAGUCACAAGGUCUCCAGAUGAUUCUGAGACUUUCAACCAGGGGCUUUAAAGUAGGGAGAAGAAACCAAGACGCCUGUCCUUUGGCUUUAUGUGCUAACACUUGUCAAAUGCCUUCAAAUCUGAGGAAAUGGGAGGGAAGAGUUCAAUUCAAGAAGGGGAAACUUCGGCGAUGACCUGGGGUUUUCACUUUUAUUUUCUAGCAUUCCAUAAUGUUAGCCAUGGUUUUAAGCAACUGCUCAAUUCAGCUAUUGCCCAUUUUAUAGACAUGGAAACUGAGGUGAAGAUGACCCAACUCCUGCCUAAAGCCCAACAAAUUCUGCCUGUGGAACCCUGGGCUUCUCCUCUCCUCCUAGUGUUCUUUCUUCCACGAGUUUGUGAUCCAAACACAUGCAUCGUCAAAAGCUCAUUUUCAGUGUUUGCUGUCCCUCAGGCUCUGUGCUGACUGUGUUCUAUGCACUCUCAUUUAAUCUUCAUCAUGAUUCAAUGACAUAAAGAGAAGGAAAAUAAUGUUCAGAGAGAUUCAGCAAUUUGCUCAACGUCACACAGCUCCAAAGCUGUGGGAUCCCAGGGUCCCCAGGGGCCCUGCUCCCAACCUUAACUCUAGAUCUAAGCACCUCUUCCCACCCCCCGGGUGACAGGGAAGAAGAAAUUGACCCUUGCUGGUUACACUUUCAGUUACGAGACUCAGAAGAGGCAAUGCAAAUGGGUUCAACCAUGAGUGCUUAAACCCCCCCUCCCACAUACAACACACACACACACACACAUACCCUCCUCUCAAGACACACAUACACGCACAUGCGCACACACCAUCCACACCUUCUAUGCCACCCCUGCACAUGUCAGGGUGAGGGCAUGGCACGCUUGGAAUUCACCACUACCCUUGCUUUGCUCAGCAAGUCAGGAGCCUGCUGAAUAUGUCAGCUGGCUUGGCAAAAAGGAACCUGCUCACAAGGUGGUUCUGGUGGAUGGGACAGGGGACAGGCUGUGCCACACACCAGGAGCCUGCAGAGACCCAAAGAGGGAGCAGCUGGAGAGGAGAGCAGAGAGUGGGGCUGGCAGGGGGUUGGGGGGCUGCCAUUGAUCUUCUCCAGGGGACACUGAGGUCACAGCUCUGGCAGGCAGCAUCUGGACGCCUGCAGGAGGUGGGUAAUGGCCCAUAAAUAAUGCACCAGGACAAGACAGGGGCAGCCGGUGGGAGUGGGCGACUCUGGACUUGGAGGCAGGAGACCCCAGAAGGAAUCCCACCCUCAUCUCAGAUGGUGGAUGGGUGGGUGUAUCCCUCUCUGGGCUCCGUUUUGCAAAAUGUGAGCCAAGGGCACUCAUCAACAUAACUGACCACUGUGAGGAUGACAAGAGAAAACAGGAGAAUGUGUCAUCAACAGAAAGGCCUGAUCCAAAUGGGAGAUGGUAUUGUAGGGGAGGAAAAAAAGAUUCCUUUCCCUUCCAUCCUCCUAGAUUUUCUGGCUGGGGUCCUGUAAACAAGGCUGACAACAGACAGAUUAACAAGAAAAAAAACAAGCAGAAGUUUAUUAACAUGCGCAUCAUGCAUACACAUGGAAAUACUCAGGGAUGAGUAACUGAAAGGAGUGGCUAGAACUUGGGCUUAUACAGCAUCUUGACAAAAGAACAAUAAAUUAUUAGAGAAGUGACAAGACAAAGUGAAAAGACUUAGAGCUUCUAGGGAGGCAAGCUGUGGGAGGGUAAAUAUAUGGAGAAACUAAAGGAAGAUAGGGUGGGUGAGUCAGGCUUGUUUUGUAGAUUCCUCUGGUGCCCUCUCUGGGCUAAGGGUCCAAAGUUAUCUAUGUUGAUUAACUUCUGUUCUUCCUGGCAGAGAGUGAAGAAGAGCUACUUUUACAAAUUUAUAUCCUGCUUGUAGGCAAAUAGGGGGAGGCCAGAGAGUUUUUCUUGUAUCUGCUUCUUCUCAGUUGACUUCAGUUCAAAAUAACCAAUGUGCUAAAAUGGCAUAUUUUGGUACUAUAAUUAUUAAAUGUUUAUACUAUUACAUUAACAGAUAUAUAAUUAUAAUUAUUAUUCCAUCUAGAGAGGCAGUAAAGCAUAGUAGUUAAGAGACCCACAGCUGAGCGUGGUGGCUCAGGCCUGUAAUCUCAGUACUCUCGGAGGCUGAGGUGGGAGGAUCCCUUGAGCCCAGGAGGUUGAGGCUGCAAUGAACCAUGAUUACACCACUGCACUCCAGCCUGGGUGACAGUAGGAGAUUCUGCCUCAAAAAAAGAAAAAGAACAGAGACCCUGGGCCCACAGUGCCUUUGUUCAGACCCAAUUACUGGCUGUGCGAGUGGGCAAGUGACUUCCUUUCUAGGCCUCAGUUUCCUAAUCUGUAAACUGGGGACAAUGAUGGGAGCCAUCACAUGGGGCUGUUACGAGGACUGAAUGGGCUAAGGAUGUGCCACUCUUGGAACAGUGUCCGGCACGGUGGAGGAGUACACGAGGGCUGGCUGUUCUUUCCUCUGGCAGGCAGGAAACAUCGUGUUGCCUACAGAAUGGGCUGUUGGGCUGAUGUUGUGGGGGGCUUAGGAUCCUGUCUGGCAGAGGGUCUAGACUCAAUGCAUGGUGGCCCUAAUGAUUAUGCAGGGACCCCAGGCCUGAGGCCAUAGGUGGUCCCAGGAUGCUGACAUCUACCUGUCCAGCAUCACUGCUCACUCACCAGCCUGUGACUCCCUUCCCUAGAAGGCCCCUGGCAUCACUCUCUGUGAUCCAUCCGGCCCAACCUGCUGAGCCAAUGGUUCUGUCUCAGAACCAAAUUCUGACCCACCUUGAGACCUCCCAUUAGACCUCAAUAUACAAAUUUUUUUAAAAGCGCUUUUUUGUUAUGCAUCUUUCCUGAUAGUAAGUGGGUGCUUAUAGCAAUACUCCAGUGCAAUUCAACCAUUAUAUGAUAAGUGACCAAUAAGGGUCAGAUGUGAUUCUUGGCAUCAUGGAUAGGGCAUUAUAUUCAUUUUUUUAAUGGAAGCUGUCAAAAAUCACAUUUGUGGGCCAGGUGCGGUGGCUCAUGCCUGUAGUCCCAGCACAUUGGGAGAUGGAGGCGGGUGGAUCACCUGAGGUCAGGAGUUCGAGACCAGCCUGACUAACAUGGUGAAACCCCAUCUCUACUAAAUACAAAAAAAAAUUAGCAGGGCAUGGUGGUGCAUGCCUGCAAUCCCAGCUACUUGGGAGGCUGAGGCAGGAGAAUCGCUUGAUCCCAGGAGGCAGAGGUUGCAGUGAGCCAAGAUUGCCCCAUUGCACUCCAGCCGGGCAACGGAGCAAAACUCCAUCAAAAAAAAAAAAUCACAUUUGUGGCUUAAAACAACACAAAUAUAUUUACUUACAGUUCUGGAGGUCCUCAGUCUGAAAUGGGUCUCUCUGGGCUGAAAUCAAGAUGUUGGCAGGGCUGCCCUUCUUUUGGCAGCUGUAGGGGAAAAUCCCCUUCCGUCCCUUUUGCAACUUCUAGAGGCUGCAUGCUUUCCUUGGCUUUGUGGCCCUUUCUCUAUCUUCAAGUCCAGCAAUAUUGUCAAGCCACAUCCUUUUCACACUGCCAUUUAUUUUGUUCCCUCCUGCCUCCCUCUUCCACUUUUACGACCCCCGUGAUUACUUUGGCCCCACCUAGAUAAUCCAGGAUCAUGUCCCUAUUUUAAAGUCAGCUGAUUAGCAACUUUCAUUCCAUCUGCAACCUUCCUUUCCCUCUGCCAAGUAACAUAACAUAUUCAUAGUUUCCAGGAAUUAACAUUUGGGGGGGUGGGGGUUAUUCUGCCCACCACAGGUACUAAUAUUUAUUGUCCAUGGUCCAUGAUAUUCCCAGCUUGCAUUGCCACUUUACAAACAUUCAUCUACUCAUUCAUUCAUUCAUUCAUUCAUUCAUUGAGCAAGGACUGGUGGAGGGCUCCCAUCUACUGAGCCCAUACUAAGUAUCUGGGGCUAAACAGUGAUCAAGCUUCCGUGCCCUCAGGAAGCUCAUCGUUCAGGGCACAGAUGAAAUUGCACAAAGACAACCACUGUAUGGAGUGACGAAGGGUGGUUGAGCCACUUGCUUCACUUUUGUGUAUCUGUUUCUUCAUCUGUAAAAUCAGAAAAAUAAAGCUACAGCUAGCUCUCUAAAUAUUGAGUGAGUCAAAGGAGAUAACAUAUGUAGGUAAUGCCCUCUGCGUUAUCCCUGGCACAAUAAAUGGCAGAUUAUUAUUACAACUGAGCAUGGGGCUCAAAGGGGGCCCAGAGGAGGCGAGUCAGGGAAUGAAGGGGUUAGUUGAGGUCUAAAUGGACACUCCAGAGAUAAAUGGGAUUAGCCAGAGGAGGUGUAGAAAAUGGAAGGAAGAGGUCUCCGGACAGAAUGCACAUGUAAAGACCCCACGGUGAACAAGCCCCUCAGUCCUCACGACCCCAAAGCCCCACCAGCUCUCUUCUUGUCAUGUGCAUGAGUUGUGCUCCCUCCCCAGAAGUCUUGAAGCCCCAGGAUCCCCCUGACUUCUCAGCACCCAGUUCCAAAGCAGCUGGAUGUGUCACAGCACCUACUGCACUCAUCACAAGGAUUCUCUUUGCCCCCACGUUUUGCACCUGAAACUACGUGAUUCAUCGUCCUCACAGCUACUAAUCAAUGGAUUCAAACUGGGCACCAGGCCCUGGGCUGUUACCCACUCACUAAUUCCGCAAAGCUUUAUCAUUAGACACACUUGAGAAACAAAGAGAUCUGCAAGGUUAGGUUACUUGCUCAAGGUCACCCAGGUAGUGGAUGGUGGAACCCAGGGCUGUCUGUCUCCAAGCCAUGAAGCCUGCACAGACCAGCAGCCUAGGCCUUUAAUGCUCAGCUCUAUGCAUGGAGGAUAUAGGUGAGGAAAGCAGGAUGGGUUGGGACCUUAGAAGAAUAGCUGUUCUGGCCAGGCGCAGAGGCUCAUGCCUGUAAUCCCAGCACUUUGGGAGGCUGAGGCAGGAGAAUCGCUUGAGUUCAAGAGUUUGAGACCAGCCUGAGCAGCAUAGGGAAACCCUAUCUCCACAAAAAAUACAAAAACUAGCCAGGUGUGGUGACAUGCACCUGUAGUCCCAGCAACUCAGGAGGCUGAGGUGGGAAGAUCGAUUGAGCCUAGGAGGUUGAGGCUACCAUGAGCUAUGAUCACACCACUGCACUCCAGCCUGAGCAAUGGAAUGAGACCCUGUCUCAAAAAGAAGAAAAAGAAAAAAAAAAGAAUAGCUGUUCUAUCCUAGAGUCAUAGAGUCAGCCUAGUAGGGACCAGAGCCUGGGGCAAGGGGCAGGGCAGAGGCCAGGGCACUUGCUAAAAAAGAACAGACUCCCUUCUUUGCCAGAAUAAGUUGUAACAGUAAUGAGUUCCAAGAAAAGAAAGGACAAACAGGCUUAGAUGCUUAAGGGAGGAGGGUUCCACACCGUGCCCUCCCAUCCCCAGCAGGGCCUGGUCCUGCCCAAGAGUAGGGACAUCUGACUCAGAACCAGCACAGGAGCGGAGGGAGGGCUGAGCCUCUCAGCUCAUCCCUUCCUUGACUGGAGACAAAGCUGUGCAGACAAACAAGGAAAAAAGCCCAUGUCGGAUUCACGGUGUACACUUUUGGCUUCUGGUCCCUUCAUUUUCAUAGCGACAUCAAGCCAACUGUUUUCUCUUGGAGAGCACAGACCUCCACCCACACUGUCAUAAUAUCCAAACUACCUUCUUGGCAUUAAAUCUUUCUUUUAUGAAAUCAUGGUGAUAACAGAUGAUUUGUGUGUGUAUUAGGUAAAAUAAAUGAUUAGCAUCUGAACAGUAAAGAGUUAGCUCAGCAGGCUGGUAUUGCUCAAAUUGUUUGAUAACAAUGUUUUUGUAUGUCUGGGGCCUCGUGCCACACUGUAUCAGUUUGACCAGAGUUUAUGCUAACAAUGUAACUUGUGAUGAAUGCCUGUUUUUGUCUGUCUGACACCACUGUAUCAGUUUGAUCUCUGGGGGCCUGGAGACUGGUGGCUAAGGUUGGUCACAUGGGUGAUGCAUACUUACAUGAUCGAUUCAAUAAAAACCCUGGAUGCUAAGGCUUGGGUGAGCUUCCCUGGUUGGUAACACCUUGCAUAUGUUGUCAUACAUUGUUGCUGGAAGAAUUAGUGUGUUCCCAGGUGAAUCCACUAGGAAGGGACACCUGUAAGCAUGCACCUGAUAUCCCCGGGACUUUGUUUUUGUACCUUUUCUUUUUACUGAUUUUGAUCUGUAUCCUUACACCACAAUAAAUGAUAAACACAAAUACAAUGGCUUUUCUGAGUUCUGUGAGUCCUAGCAAAUCAUGAAGACUGAGGGUGAUCUUGGGGACUCUCAAGCCAGCAUUCUAAGUUGGCUCCCCAGUUUCUGUUAUUUGGAAACUUGAUUGAAACCUCUGAUUCAACCCAACCCUGUUGUCAUGGUGCUCAGGAUACUGGGGAAACUGCAGCCCCUGGG
Molecule: long non-coding RNA, 7139 nt
Organism: Symphalangus syndactylus (siamang)
Lineage: Eukaryota; Metazoa; Chordata; Mammalia; Primates; Hylobatidae
Source: RefSeq, a predicted model, not a curated record